RNAcentral lists this ribosomal RNA (1039 nucleotides) under Salmonella enterica subsp. enterica serovar Kentucky. RNAcentral's name for it is "bacterial SSU rRNA". It matches the Rfam family "Bacterial small subunit ribosomal RNA", at positions 1 to 1031 of the family's 1533-position model. Lineage: Bacteria; Pseudomonadati; Pseudomonadota; Gammaproteobacteria; Enterobacterales; Enterobacteriaceae. The record is from RNAcentral.
AAAUUGAAGAGUUUGAUCAUGGCUCAGAUUGAACGCUGGCGGCAGGCCUAACACAUGCAAGUCGAACGGUAGCACAGAGAGCUUGCUCUCGGGUGACGAGUGGCGGACGGGUGAGUAAUGUCUGGGAAACUGCCCGAUGGAGGGGGAUAACUACUGGAAACGGUAGCUAAUACCGCAUAACGUCGCAAGACCAAAGUGGGGGACCUUCGGGCCUCACACCAUCGGAUGUGCCCAGAUGGGAUUAGCUAGUAGGUGGGGUAACGGCUCACCUAGGCGACGAUCCCUAGCUGGUCUGAGAGGAUGACCAGCCACACUGGAACUGAGACACGGUCCAGACUCCUACGGGAGGCAGCAGUGGGGAAUAUUGCACAAUGGGCGCAAGCCUGAUGCAGCCAUGCCGCGUGUAUGAAGAAGGCCUUCGGGUUGUAAAGUACUUUCAGCGAGGAGGAAGGCGUUGUGGUUAAUAACCACAGCGAUUGACGUUACUCGCAGAAGAAGCACCGGCUAACUCCGUGCCAGCAGCCGCGGUAAUACGGAGGGUGCAAGCGUUAAUCGGAAUUACUGGGCGUAAAGCGCACGCAGGCGGUUUGUUAAGUCAGAUGUGAAAUCCCCGGGCUCAACCUGGGAACUGCAUUUGAAACUGGCAAGCUUGAGUCUCGUAGAGGGGGGUAGAAUUCCAGGUGUAGCGGUGAAAUGCGUAGAGAUCUGGAGGAAUACCGGUGGCGAAGGCGGCCCCCUGGACAAAGACUGACGCUCAGGUGCGAAAGCGUGGGGAGCAAACAGGAUUAGAUACCCUGGUAGUCCACGCCGUAAACGAUGUCUACUUGGAGGUUGUGCCCUUGAGGCGUGGCUUCCGGAGCUAACGCGUUAAGUAGACCGCCUGGGGAGUACGGCCGCAAGGUUAAAACUCAAAUGAAUUGACGGGGGCCCGCACAAGCGGUGGAGCAUGUGGUUUAAUUCGAUGCAACGCGAAGAACCUUACCUGGUCUUGACAUCCACGGAAGUUUUCAGAGAUGAGAAUGUGCCUUCGGGAACCGUG